UACGUAGGGGGCAAGCGUUGUCCGGAAUUAUUGGGCGUAAAGGGCACGCAGGCGGUCUGGUAAGUCUGAUGUGAAAGCCCACGGCUCAACCGUGGAGGGUCAUUGGAAACUGUCAGACUUGAGUGCAGAAGAGGAGAGCGGAAUUCCACGUGUAGCGGUGAAAUGCGUAGAGAUGUGGAGGAACACCAGUGGCGAAGGCGGCUCUCUGGUCUGACACUGACGCUGAGGUGCGAAAGCGUGGGGAGCAAACAGG
RNAcentral lists this ribosomal RNA (253 nucleotides) under uncultured prokaryote. Its description in RNAcentral is "partial 16S ribosomal RNA". It matches the Rfam family "Bacterial small subunit ribosomal RNA", at positions 524 to 776 of the family's 1533-position model. The record is from RNAcentral.